UACGGGGGGGGCAAGCGUUGUUCGGAAUUACUGGGCGUAAAGGGCUCGUAGGCGGCCAACUAAGUCAGACGUGAAAUCCCUCGGCUUAACCGGGGAACUGCAUCUGAUACUGGAUGGCUUGAGUUCGGGAGAGGGAUGCGGAAUUCCAGGUGUAGCGGUGAAAUGCGUAGAUAUCUGGAGGAACACCGGUGGCGAAGGCGGCAUCCUGGACCGACACUGACGCUGAGGAGCGAAUGCCAGGGGAGCAAACGGG
RNAcentral lists this ribosomal RNA (253 nucleotides) under uncultured bacterium. RNAcentral's name for it is "partial 16S ribosomal RNA". It matches the Rfam family "Bacterial small subunit ribosomal RNA", at positions 524 to 776 of the family's 1533-position model. The record is from RNAcentral.